Molecule: long non-coding RNA, 858 nt
Filed under: Theobroma cacao (cacao)
Lineage: Eukaryota; Viridiplantae; Streptophyta; Magnoliopsida; Malvales; Malvaceae
Description: long non-coding RNA (TCAC_LNC005990)
Source: RNAcentral
AAAGAAAAAGAUAAAUAAAAAUUUUCAAGUGAUUCAUUCAAAUGCAUAUUCAUUUAUCCCAAAACAUUUUAAAUGCAAGUUCACUCACUUGUCUUUGUUGAUUUUCCUUUUUGAUCAGCUCCAACCUUAACUAACGCUCCAAGUGGAAAUGUGGGGUCUUGUUGGAACCUAUCAUACAUAAUAACAUCACAACCAACCCAAUUUGCAUGAAUAUAAUUCCAAAGGUUGUUUCCUAAAUCAAACUUUACUAGUUUUUCAUAACUAGUUUUCAAUCAUUAUUUGACUAGUCAACUUAAUACUAACUCCAACAAAUUUCAUAACACUUCUUUCAUUACUUCCAUUUUCCAGCACCUAUAUCAUCCUUAUAAUUCAAAAUUCCAAACUUAAUUAAUUCCCAUAGUGACAUCUUACACCAACACAAUGCUCUUUAUCAAACUAGUCAUUUGUUUGCACUAUUCUAAUCACACUAGAAAUAAAUAAUCACAUUUCCACCACAAAAUAACCUUCAACAAUAAAACAACCCACAAAUUUAAUUAUUAGCCAUCAUUAACAACUUAAAAAUCAACCCUAACUCAUUACUCACCUUGGUGGACUCGUAGUUGAAUUUCCUUACUGAGGAUUAAAAAGGGGAAAUUAUUUUAAGAGUUUUCAAGCUAUUUUGAAGAAUUUUUCUCUCUAAAAUGUUCAACUAGUAAGAGAAAGUACAGAGGAAAGACUUUUUUAGGGUUUUUUAGGUGAAAAAGUGAAAAAGCAUGAAAAAUCCUAUGAAAACGUGUACAAAAACAUGAGAUUUGGAGUUAAUAUGGGAAAGUUAUGAAGGUUUUCAUGGAUGGCCUCCAUGGAAUAUGGAAAGCUUGA